RNAcentral lists this ribosomal RNA (916 nucleotides) under uncultured archaeon. RNAcentral describes it as "bacterial SSU rRNA". It matches the Rfam family "Archaeal small subunit ribosomal RNA", at positions 1 to 922 of the family's 1478-position model. The record is from RNAcentral.
UUUCCGGUUGAUCCUGCCGCCGGCCACCGCUAUCAAGUUCCGACUAAGCCAUGCGAGUCAAGGUAUCGUAAGAUGCCGGCAAACUGCUCAGUAACACGUGGAUAAUCUAACCUUGAGUAAGGGAUAACCUCGGGAAACUGAGGAUAAUACCUUAUAAUUGCUUAAAACUGGAAUGUUUAAGCAAUAAAAGUUCCGACGCUCAAGGAUGAGUCUGCGACCUAUCAGGUAGUAGGUGGUGUAAUGGACCACCUAGCCUCAGACGGGUACGGGCCCUGGGAGGGGUAGCCCGGAGAUGGACUCUGAGACAUCAGUCCAGGCCCUACGGGGCGCAGCAGGCGCGAACACUGUGCAAUGCGCGAAAGCGCGACACGGGGAGCUUGAGUGUCUUGGCAUAGCCAAGACUUUUCUCAUUCCUAAAAAGCAUGAGGAAUAAGUGCUGGGUAAGACGGGUGCCAGCCGCCGCGGUAACACCCGCAGCACAAGUGGUGGUCACUUUUAUUGAGCCUAAAGCGUUCGUAGCCGGUUUUGUAAAUCUUUAGAUAAAGCCUGAAGCUUAACUCCAGAAAGUCUGAAGAGACUGCAAGACUUGAGAUCGGGUGAGGUUAAACGUACUUUCAGGGUAGGGGUAAAAUCCUGUAAUCCCGGAAGGACGACCAGUGGCGAAAGCGUUUAACUAGAACGAAUCUGACGGUAAGGAACGAAGGCUAGGGUAGCAAACCGGAUUAGAUACCCGGGUAGUCCUAGCUGUAAACACUGCCCAUUUGAUGUUGCUUUUCCGUUGAGGGAAGGCAGUGUCGGAGCGAAGGUGUUAAAUGGGCCGCUUGGGAAGUAUGGUCGCAAGACUGAAACUUAAAGGAAUUGGCGGGGGAGCACCGCAACGAGAGGAAUGUGCGGUUUAAUUGGAUUCACCGCCGGG